AUACGGAGGGUGCAAGCGUUAUCCGGAAUCACUGGGUUUAAAGGGUGCGUAGGCGGACUAGUAAGUCAGAGGUGAAAUCCCGUCGCUUAACGACGGAACUGCCUUUGAUACUGCUUGUCUUGAAUCAGGUUGAGGUAUGCGGAAUGUGGCAUGUAGCGGUGAAAUGCGUAGAUAUGCCAUAGAACACCGAUUGCGAAGGCAGCAUACUGGCCCUGUAUUGACACUGAGGCACGAAAGCGUGGGGAGCGAACAGGAUUAGAUACCCUAGUAGUCC
RNAcentral lists this ribosomal RNA (274 nucleotides) under uncultured bacterium. RNAcentral's name for it is "partial 16S ribosomal RNA". It matches the Rfam family "Bacterial small subunit ribosomal RNA", at positions 523 to 796 of the family's 1533-position model. The record is from RNAcentral.